Molecule: non-coding RNA, 303 nt
Organism: Chlorocebus sabaeus (green monkey)
Lineage: Eukaryota; Metazoa; Chordata; Mammalia; Primates; Cercopithecidae
Source: RefSeq, a predicted model, not a curated record
AUCCACCAGCCUCGGCCUCCCAAAGUGCUGGGAUUACAGGAGCAGCCCUGCCUCAGUGACAGCAAAAAGUGGCAACCAAGAAAGCUAUUUCCAUGAUUCACCAGGAACACUGGCUAAAUUGCAUAAGCCACAUCCCUGAAAUGCUAGAUCUUCCUUCUUUCAAUCUUGGUUUUCCUACCCACUUGUGCACCCAGCGGUGGUCUUCAGUUGAGCCAUCGAGUCUUUGGGAAUCCACAGAAUGUUUAGAUUUGCCCUGGGAGUGAUGCUGACCACCAAAGAGACACAGCUAUGGAGGUUCUGAAA